AUCAUGCUCGCACGUUGGAGCUGUUCUUUUUGCAGUUGAAGCUGGGGUGAAAAUGAGAGCGACAUGCACAUCAGAGCAGUGCAAGUGGCUGAUGCCAUCUCAUGUUAAAAAGAUUCCUGCUUGCCCAGUAACUCUGAUUGACUUCUCUUCAGCAAAGUCAAAAAAACGAAAGCUUGAGUGUUCCAUUGAUGGCUGCACAAGUACACAAAAGUUAUGGAUGCAAACAUGAAGCACAAGCCAGAGGAGCAUAUGAGAAGCUUAUGAGCCAGGAGCAUGCAGGCUUCUCAUGUAUGGACAGCGGUCUCUGGCUGAACCCCAAGUGGCCAUACAUGGGGUC
Maylandia zebra (zebra mbuna) is the source of this 337-nucleotide non-coding RNA. NCBI's taxonomy places the organism in Eukaryota, Metazoa, Chordata, Actinopteri, Cichliformes, Cichlidae. The record is from RefSeq and is a predicted model, not a curated record.